Molecule: long non-coding RNA, 371 nt
Filed under: Ornithorhynchus anatinus (platypus)
Lineage: Eukaryota; Metazoa; Chordata; Mammalia; Monotremata; Ornithorhynchidae
Description: lncRNA (ENSOANG00000037061.1)
Source: RNAcentral
GGGCGCGACUGGUCCUCUGUUACCGCAGGCCUCCCCUCUUGUUUCAGUGCUCCGUUCUAUGGCAAGGACACCUCAGUGGAGCCAGAUGACUUCACCCACAAAGCAGAACGGGGCCUCGGCUGGGAAGCUAACGCCAGGUGGAUGCCUAGCCACUCCACUCCUAGGAUCCUGCCCUCUCCCCGUCAUCAGUUUCCCAAGGAGACAGAUGCUGAAUCAUCGAGAUUUUGCCAAGACUCCGUGGUGGACACCCCCCUUCAGAAGUUGGAUCUGCAGUAAUGUUCUUUGGAAAGGUAACACCAGCUUUAAAUGAAGAGCUAACAAAUUUCAUCCUGAGCUUGGAAGAAGGAGGGUAAUUAUGUCCAUGUUAUCAC